GUGCAUUGUCCUGCUGGAAGGAGCCAUCAGAAGAUGGGUACACUUUGGACAUACAGAAAUGGACAUGGUCAGCGACAACAGUCAGGAUGUGACCAGCAGGUGAGUUUGCACAUAUGGAGCCGAUCAACACAAUCAGGAGAAGCUAAAGAGAAGGGGGUACCUCUGGGGGAAGAUGCAAGAUCGUUCCUUCUCACAGAGUGACAUCCUCGUCUGCAGACCCUGCCGUCAUCCAGGAUCUCAGUUCACUGCCUCCGUAUCCCCAAUGUCCUUGGAAGAACUCAUUCUGGAAAUCCCUUCGAUAAUCUCCCUUACGGCUUCCCUGGCUGCUCCCCUGGAUCCACUGUCGGAGUGCCUCCAUGCUCGACCAAUACCACUUACCUGCCUGCCCGCCCUCCAAUGCUCUGUUGCCAUCACCACCUCAAUCUAGACACAACGGAUGAUUACUAACCUACACCACUUGCCACAAUCUGCCAACCUCAGCUGUUUGUGGAUCUACACCAUUUCCACAAAAAGUAAGAAUCAGUUUUCACCUCUUCAUCCUGGUCCUCCUCCUCAUCAGUUACCAAACUCUUUAACUUGCUGUUGAUGCUUACCUUUCUUUCUCAAUCC
This is a long non-coding RNA of Fundulus heteroclitus (mummichog), 609 nucleotides long. RefSeq lists it as uncharacterized. The record is from RefSeq and is a predicted model, not a curated record. The transcript is spliced from 3 exons. Lineage: Eukaryota; Metazoa; Chordata; Actinopteri; Cyprinodontiformes; Fundulidae.